RNAcentral lists this non-coding RNA (236 nucleotides) under Lentilactobacillus curieae. RNAcentral's name for it is "Lactobacillus curieae T-box sequence". It matches the Rfam family "T-box leader". Rfam says of the family: Uncharged tRNA acts as the effector for transcription antitermination of genes in the T-box leader family. T-boxes are found upstream of many aminoacyl-tRNA synthetase genes and some amino acid biosynthetic genes usually in Gram-positive bacteria. Lineage: Bacteria; Bacillati; Bacillota; Bacilli; Lactobacillales; Lactobacillaceae. The record is from RNAcentral.
UAGAAAUAAAUGUCAGGAUGAGUAGCGUAUUUUUGCUUUGUUAGAGACCUCGGUUGGUGAAAAAGGGGAUUGCAAGGUAUGUGAAGAUGGUCCUGGAUUAAAACAUGACACUCAUGAGCUCUUAGUAAAUGAGUGGAUGGUUACCGUCCAUUACCGCGGAUAAUACCUUAGGUAUUUUUGAGGUCAUCUAUUUGAUGACAAACAAAGGUGGUACCACGAAGCCCUUCGUCCUUUGA